Molecule: long non-coding RNA, 636 nt
Filed under: Zonotrichia albicollis (white-throated sparrow)
Lineage: Eukaryota; Metazoa; Chordata; Aves; Passeriformes; Passerellidae
Description: lncRNA (ENSZALG00000000049.1)
Source: RNAcentral
AUGUGCAGAACCUUUGCUCUGGGCUUAUUUCCGCUCUCAUUUCAUUCAUUGGCUUAUUCCAAAUUUAGGAUCCAGCCCCGCGCAUCCCAACCCUCCCCAAAUUCCUGCUCGGGGAUGGGGGCACCAGGACCCUUCUGUCCCCUCUCCCUCGGUGUCUGUGUCACCGCUGCCCCCUCCCCGAGGCUCAGCCCGACCCCCGGAGCAUCCUCGGCCACCCCUAUGAGAGCGAGGAUUUGGGGGUCCCUCCGAGAGCAUCCCCUGGAGCAAAGCACAAAGCGCCGGGGCUUGGUGAGACCCAGGCCGCUCCCAUCCCCUGCCCCAGGCACUCUGCACCCCAAAAUCUGGAUUUUCCAGCCGGGAGAAGGUGGAAGAAGUGAAUCCCUCACCCAAAGUGGCUUUGGGUCACUUGCGGGCCGAGAGAACAGCGAGGAUGGACGCGCUCGGCCGUGCCCAAACUUUGGGCGCUCGGCACGGCCCGGCCCCGGUACCGGGAGCCGCUCCCCAAAGGGCGCGGUGCCCUCAGCCCGCCCCGGUAACAAAAACCCGAGAAUUCGGAAUAAAACACGCGCGGAGGGCCCGAGCCGGGCUCCGAGCGCUCCAACCCCGGCCCCAGGGAGUGUUUUAAAGUUGAAGUGA